CCUACGGGAGGCAGCAGUAGGGAAUCUUCCACAAUGAGCGAAAGCCUGAUGGAGCGACGCCGCGUGCACGAUGAAGGUCUUCGGAUUGUAAAGUCCUGUUGUUAGGGAAGAACAUUUGCAAUAGUAACUGUUCACGUACUGACGGUACCUUCUCAGACAGCGAUGGCUAACUAUGUGCCAGCAGCCGCGGUAAUACGUAGGUGGCAAGCGUUAUCCGGAUUUAUUGGGCGUAAAGCGAUCGUAGGCUGUUUGUUAAGUCUGUGGGAAAAUCCCGGGGCUAAACCGCGGAGUGCAUUGGAGACUAGCAGACUAGAGUGAGAUAGAGGUAAGCGGAAUGCCAUGUGAAGCGGUGAAAUGCGUAGAUAUAUGGAAGAACACCAGAGGCGAAGGCAGCUCACUGGG
RNAcentral lists this ribosomal RNA (402 nucleotides) under uncultured bacterium. RNAcentral's name for it is "partial 16S ribosomal RNA". It matches the Rfam family "Bacterial small subunit ribosomal RNA", at positions 338 to 733 of the family's 1533-position model. The record is from RNAcentral.